GCUACAGCUGCUUAAUAAGACCUUAUUAAUUUUUUCUUGUAUCUUGUAGACUCAAGGAGCUGUCAACUUAAAUUGUGUUUGAAUGUUAAAACAAAAUUAAUACCAAAAAUUUGUUUUGUGACUAGACAUUACAGCGUUACCAAAUUGUCCUUUUAAAAAGUUAAGUAGCAGACUUACACAGCUUGGAUGUAUUUUAGCUGUAAGGCAACUCUCCCUGAACGUAAUGACUAGUGUGAAAUGUAUACAAGAGACUCACCUUUCAGGCAGCCUACUGUCUUAAAAACAGCCCCAAAUAUUUUAAUCUUGCCAAACUUUUAUUAGAAGCUCAUCUCUUAAGCAACUGACUUGUUGACCAGUUUAAGGUUGUGUCCUUUGGUGUAAAUGGGUGCUGUUGGGACUGCAAUGUUAGGUUCUUGUAUUGGUAUAUUGAAUCUUUGAGGCUAAACUAAUUAAUCUGGACCACUUUAGAAUGCUUAGAAAGUCCUUAUCUCUAGCUGUUCAGUGGCUCAAUUGAAAUGAAUUGGGCAGUCCAAUUCAUAAUACAAAAGCUACCAUUACCUUUUCUGGUAGUCCCAUUGAAGUCAGUGGGAGGCCUUAAAUCAGUCUGAAACUAAAACUAAUUUUUGACUCUCUUUAAAUUUGAUCUAGGUGAAACACAAAAAGAGCAGUGUGUGGAAGGUUGUAUUCCUAUUGUUAGUCUAAAGUGGGCACACAGUAAUACGCAUUUGUGCCCUUUUUACAAGCAAAACACUAAACUGAAUUUUGUUGCUUGAGCUAAGAACUUUGUUUUUAUAUUCUGGGGUCAUUGGUCUUUGCACAUAGUUUCUCCCUGCAGUACAGUUUGAAUUAAAUAACUGGCUGAAAGCAAAUGCAGUACUUAAUCUAGCUGGUCCCAUUUAUUAACAUGAAUGUUCAUAUGUCCCCCUUUGUUCUCACUUCAUGUCCUCGUAACUUGGUGGUGAUUUGAGUUCCAAGCAUUUUUCAGAACACUUAUCUUUAAUUCUAGAAUAGUGAUUGUUGGUGCAAUUAGUCCUUUUACAUAAGCACUAUAAUCAGGUAACUAAGACUACCAGUGAGUAGAUAUUGUAGCUAAACAUUUACAGUGUGUGUAUAUAUACACUGAGUUGCUUUAAUACAGUUCUUCAUUUGUCCAAUUUUCUCCAUAACUCACCAAGAGGAUAUUUGAUAGAGCUGAUGUUUUGCUAAUCAUGUUAGCUAGGAGGUCCAGUUUGGUGUAGAUUAGAACAGACAAAAUGCAGCUCGCAAUUUGAAUGAUUGACAAGGCAGAGGACGAUACUUGCGUUAGAGACAGUGAUUAGUCUCAUGCUACAUUUUAUUUGUCACUUAAUGUUGUAAUUGCAAAAUCCUUGUUUCAGAAUUGUUAGCUGAGCCAUUUUAAAUAUGGCUAUUCAUUACUUUUAAGUUUAGGGAGCAGAGGAUGUAUUACAGAAUAUAUUCUACUUUUGAAAAUGUAAAUUCACUUUACUCUGUGCAGGAUUCUCACUCCUGGGUCUCUGCUCCUUAAUGCAAAAUAGCUGGAACUCUCCAAGGUUUAGGUGAGAAGUAGCAAGUAGUAGCACAAGCAGUCCUCAGCUAGUGGUGGUAUGAUAUCCCAUGCCUUAACGAUUACUUUCAGAACCUUUCAGUUUCUUUUCAACCUUGAUAGCCCUGCACCUCUUCAGCUCUUAAACACUCAGUACCUAACUGGUUUCAGAGUAGCAGCCGUGUUAGUCUGUAUUCGCAAAAAGAAAAGGAGUACUUGUGGCACCUUAGAGACUAACAAAUUUAUUUGAGCGUAACCUUUCGUGAGCUAUACGAAAGUCUUAUGCUCAAAUUUGUUAGUCUCUAAGGUGCCACAAGUACUCCUUUUCUCAGUACCUAACUGUUAUGAAUAUAUUUUUGUCUUCGAAUUUUUUCUUACCCUGUGGCCUCUGAUUCCCUAGGAGCAUUGAUAGGGUUGCUAGCCUCUGGGGAUCAUAGAGAAACUUCUGUUUGGUCUGAGUUUUUGUUUUGGCAACUUGUGCUUCAGCGCCUUAGUAUUACUGUUGGAACCUUUUUCUUGGCAUCUCCUAGUUCUCUGAACUUCAAAGCUUUUUAGGUAUUAAUUUCUUUCAGAAUAACAUCCAUUUCCUCAGCACCUGGGUGGGAAGAAGACCAGUCAUACCUCCAUACAGUACCUGUAUGGCUGAAAGCAGGAGACACCAGAAGAGAGCCACCUGCCCUCCAACUCAUCACUUCUAAAGACUUGGGGCACCUUCACAUCAUAAGACCGCAGCAUCUUCUCUUCACAUUGGUUCAGGACAGGGAAGACUGCUUUGGGGAACCUCCAUGGUGUGUUCAGCAACCUAGCUGUGUCUCUCCUGGUGAUUUCAUACAGUGUAGUGCCAUCACUAAUGCUUGCCUCUGAUCCUUCAUCAAGAUAAGCCUGAGUUGGAUACCUGUACCCCAGGAUUGGCUCCUUCAACAAAGUACUGGCCUUUAAUAGCAGUACACAAACCCCACAGCUCCUGUGCUGAGAGUCUGGGCACAGCCAUUGUUGAUGCACUUUGGAGCAUUAACCAUCUCAAAAGGCCCCUUUGGCUCACUACUUUGCUGUCUUAAUAGAAGCAUGAUGGUGGUCAGGGAUACAAUGUCUGCCUCCUGGAUGCAGAACAGAUUAACUGAAGGAGUAACAAGACAUGCUCUAUAAGGAUUUGACUUUCUCUAAUGCAUAAAGUUGGUGGGAUCUGGAUUAGCACCAGUCCAGGAAUUUAGAAGGGCAACAAUUAGUACAUACGUGGAACAAGAGCCUCCAUCCAGUUGAGUGGCCAUGCUCUUGCAUCCUAUUUUAGACCACUUGGCAAAGGUGUGUCAGACAACUCACACGACUUCUUUUGCUUCAAAUGUUGCUGAGAAGUACAUAUUGCCCAGGACUCUGCCAGCAGUUUCUCCCAUCCGAGUGAAAAGCUUGGUGGUGAAGACAACCAUGGCUAGAGAAUAUAUCAAUUAUCCUUCACAUCAGAAACUGCUGGGCCUUCAUGGCCCAACGGCAUAUUAACUACUGCGGAGCUGACUGAAUGUAGUCCACAGGACAGAUACCAGGAACUCAAAGAUGGUGGAUAAAAGUGUGGGGCUGAGCCAGUACUGGGUGCAGGUGUUUUUAUAUGCAAGCGACAAGGUACCAAGAGCUGUUCCAUCAGAAAUGGAUUUCUGUAGGUCUGCUUGCCUGCAAGUAUCUGGGUUCCAAAAGGAGAUUUAGAAAAAAUUCUGUUCUGAGAAUAUUACGUAGCUGGUAUGUCAGAAGAGUAGGAAUUACUUGUAGUUCUGCAUCCCUGAAGAUGUCAUCUUGCAGGAUUUUCACUUUCCCAGCUCCAUUCAGAGUGGAGGGGAAUCUUUGUAAGGUUACUGCUCUUUCAACCCUUUUGUUAUGACUGGCUUAUUUGGCUCUGGGAGGCUUCACUUCCUGAUAAAUCAAACUUGACUAGAAGGCUCCAAGGGUGGCACUGCAGGUCUUACAUGGCUUGUGCUUCUGCCCACUGCCUUUGGGGAUCAAUACACCUCUAGAGCAUUUAUUUCUGCCUGUUUCAUGGUUGGUAUCUGAGACUCAGGGGCAAGAAACCUGUAAGCUAGUCUUUAGAGGAGAAUUAAAAGAUAAGUAACUUUCCUAUAUAAACUUCACUUGUGAUUUAAUUCUCCUAUCAAUGUAGUGUUUGCAGUGGCAAUUCUAGAUCUCUUGGAAUUUACUCUUCAUUUAGGAAUGAGAUAUAAUAGACUUAUUCUUCAGAAUCAUUUUAUUAUGUCUCUGUAGAUAUUUGCCAUGUAAAUUACAGCUUUAUGCUAAUUAACUGUUACCAUAGUCCAUCUUGGCCAGUAUCCUGUAUCCAACAAUGGCCUGUAGUACAGCUUCAGGGGGGCAAAACAGGGCAAUUAUGCAGUGAUUCACCCAUCUUCCACACCAGCUUCUAGUAGUCAGAGGUUGAGGGCUGUCCUGAGCUUGGGAUUGUGCUCUGACUGUCUUGGCUAAUAAACAUUGAUGGACCUAUGCUCCAUGAAUUUAUCCAUUUCUUUUUUGAACCCUGUUAUACUUUUGACCAUCAGGACACAUUCCACAGGUUACUUGUGCACUGCGUGGAAAAAGUACUUCCUCUUGUUUGUGUUAAAGCUGCUGCCUAUUAAUUUCAUUGUGUGACCCUUAGCUUUUGUAUUGUGUGAAAGAGUAAAUAACACUUGUCUUUUCACUUGUCCAAACCAUUCUUGAUUUUUAUAGACUUAGUCAUCUCUUUUCUAAGCUGAACAGUCUUAAUCGUUUUUGUCUCUCCUUGUACAGAAGCCAUUCCAUAUCUUUGGUCAUCUUUGUUGUCCUCCUUUGAACUUUGCACUAUGCCCUUUUUUGAGCUGGGGUAACCAGCACUGGACAGAGUAUAAAUCCAUGGUGUCCCCACACGUCGAAUAUAGUGGCAUUAUGAUAUUUUAUCUAUCCCUUUCCUAAUAGUUCCUAACAUACGUUAGCCUUUUUGGCUGCUGCUGUGCAUUGAACAGAAGUUUUCAGAGAGCUAUCCCCAGUGACUCCAAGGUUUAUCUUGGGUGGUGACGUUUAAUUUAGAACGCAUCGUUGUAUGUAUGGUAAGGAUUAUUUUUUCCAGUGUGCAUUAUUUUGCACGAAUCAAUGUCAAAUGUUAUCUGCUGUUUUGUUGUCCAGUCAUCAAAUCAUAGGAAUGGAAGAGACCUCCAGAGGUCAUCUAGUCCAGUCCCCCUGUGCUCAUGGCAGGAUUAAGUAUUAACUCAGUCAACCAGUUUUGUGAAAUUCCUCUAACUUCUCGCAGUCCUCUUUGGACUUACUAGCAUGAAUAAUUUUGUAUCAUCUGCUAACUUUGCCACUUAACUGUUUACCUCUUUUUUCCAGAUUAUUAAUGAAUACAUUGAACAGCAUGGGUCCCUGUGCAGAUCUUGGGGGACCUCGCUGUUCACCUCUCCAUUGUGAAAACUGACCAUUUUCCAUUGAUAGAAAACUGACUAUCAUGUUUCCUGUCUUUCAACCACUUACUGAUCCAUGAGAGGACCUUUCCUCUUAUCCCACGGCUGCUUACUUACUGAUCCAUGAGAGGACCUUUCCUCUUAUCCCAUGGCUGCUUAGUUUCCUUGAGAGCUUUGGUGAGGGACCUUGUCAGAGGUUUUCUGAAAGUCCAGGUACACUGUAUCAACAGGAUUACCCUGUUGGAUCACAUGCUUGUUGACUCCCUCAGAGAAUUCUAGUAGAUAGGUGAGGCAUGAUUUCCCUUUAUAAAUGCCACAUUGACUCUUCCCCAACAAAUCCUGUUCAUCUAUGUAUGAUCAUUCUGAAAAACUUUACUAUAGUUUCUGCCUGUUUGCCUGGUAUUGAAGUUAGGCUCACUGACCUGUAAUUGCCAGGAUCUCUUCUGGAGCCCUUUU
This is a long non-coding RNA of Chelonia mydas (Green sea turtle), 5409 nucleotides long. RefSeq lists it as uncharacterized. Lineage: Eukaryota; Metazoa; Chordata; Testudines; Cheloniidae. The record is from RefSeq and is a predicted model, not a curated record. The transcript has 2 exons.